GGUGGCUCAGUUGGUUAGGGCGUGGUGCUGAUAAUGCCAAGGUCAACAUGGGUUCCGAUAACCCGUAUGGGCCA
Podarcis lilfordi (Lilford's wall lizard) is the source of this 74-nucleotide non-coding RNA. NCBI's taxonomy places the organism in Eukaryota, Metazoa, Chordata, Lepidosauria, Squamata, Lacertidae. The record is from the annotation of a GenBank genome assembly.